AACGAACGCUGGCGGCAUGCCUAACACAUGCAAGUCGAACGAGACCUUCGGGUCUAGUGGCGCACGGGUGCGUAACGCGUGGGAACCUGCCCUUAGGUUCGGAAUAACUCCCCGAAAGGGGUGCUAAUACCGGUUAAUGUCUUCGGACCAAAGAUUUAUCGCCUUUGGAUGGGCCCGCGUUGGAUUAGCUAGUUGGUAGGGUAAAAGCCUACCAAGGCGACGAUCCUUAGCUGGUCUGAGAGGAUGAUCAGCCACACUGGGACUGAGACACGGCCCAGACUCCUACGGGAGGCAGCAGUGGGGAAUAUUGGACAAUGGGCGAAAGCCUGAUCCAGCAAUGCCGCGUGAGUGAUGAAGGCCUUAGGGUUGUAAAGCUCUUUUACCCGGGAUGAUAAUGACAGUACCGGGAGAAUAAGCUCCGGCUAACUCCGUG
Molecule: ribosomal RNA, 433 nt
Filed under: uncultured bacterium
Lineage: Bacteria
Description: partial 16S ribosomal RNA
Rfam family: Bacterial small subunit ribosomal RNA
Source: RNAcentral